Molecule: long non-coding RNA, 1026 nt
Organism: Bombyx mori (domestic silkworm)
Lineage: Eukaryota; Metazoa; Arthropoda; Insecta; Lepidoptera; Bombycidae
Exons: 3
Source: RefSeq, a predicted model, not a curated record
CUUACGUAUUUCAAUAUUAACUACCAAAUUACGAUGUUACACUAGAGAUUAUUUGUCUGGGAACAAUCAAGCUGUGGCCUGCCUAGAAGAAGUUAUUUUAUUAUUCGCUUGAAGGGAAUUCAAAAGACUUGUAUUUAGGAGUAUCAAUAAACAUCUCUGGGAAUGCAUUGUGGAUAGCCGCUUUUUUUCCUGGUUGUGAGCUUUAUCCGGACAGCAGGUGGUGCGGCGCUAAAAAGCAGACGGCGGGAUAAACCCAACCAGUUACUUAGAGCUCUCAUCGUCGAUUACCCGGCCCAGAAGACCUGGUAUUAAAAUAAGAUAUCGAACCUCGGAAAAUACAGUAGUCUUAUGGGAAUUUAUGAAUUACUAAAUCAAUCGCUAUUUCGAACUAGGCAGACUUAAGUUUAAUUAAUCAAGUUGGUUCAAGGAUACUAGACCUAAACUUACGUCUGAAGGACAUCGGGGACUUCUAGGUUCAUAGUUGUCUCGAUAACUAUUUUCCGCUAAUAACACAGGUGGACAGCGGUCCAUUAUAGACACUACUGCUUUACCGUAAUAAGUACAAGGAUGGUACGCGCCGAUAUCCUCGAAGUCGUUCGUGAGCAUUUAGACAGUCAGUACUGCUUGUUGCUGCCGUUUUGUAACUAAAUGUUCUGUUGUGAGGGGAAGGAAGGUGCGUGGCUCCUUCAGAGGAUUUAGGGAAAUCGGUGUCACGUAGAUGGAAACAGAAGCCCGGUGUGGAAUUUGGACCUGGUGCCUACAAACCAAACACAGCAAACUAUUCGGAUACUAAAUUAAAGACGCGAUUGAUGAAUUUACUGAAGAUGAAAGAGGCCAGAGAAAAAACGAAGAUCGUGAACAAAGAGCAGUCAUUUAUUAAUUACUAGCUGACCCGGCAGACUUCGUAGUGCCGCAAUCGAUAAAUAAGUCGUAAACUUUUGUAUAAAAUAAACUUAAAACAAACAAAAGGAAUCCGUUCGAUACGGGACACAUCAAACGAAAAAAUAUAUUGUUAUUUUUAUUUAA